Long non-coding RNA from Apis cerana (Asiatic honeybee), 6243 nucleotides. RefSeq lists it as uncharacterized. Lineage: Eukaryota; Metazoa; Arthropoda; Insecta; Hymenoptera; Apidae. The record is from RefSeq and is a predicted model, not a curated record.
UAAUAAUAAUAAUAAUAAUAAUAAUAAUAAUAAUAAUAGACAAACACCAGAUAAGGCAGUGGUUAUUCGCAGUUAUAGUUGCGGUGAGCAGUCGUGAGGGAGAUGCCCCCAAAAGCUACGUGUUAGCCAAAGUUAUCGAAGGUUCAGGUGCAUCACGUUCAAUCGUUCCAAUUCCGAAAGGAGAAAUCGUGAAUAAAAAUCCGAACUUUAAAAAAAUCAUCCCUCGUGAGUAGGUACUAAAAAUACCUUGAGGUAUCAAGUAUCGUUGAAAAAAUAAAGCGUGAAAUGAAAUAUAAAAUGAAACUUCGGAGCGAUCGAAGCGCCACCAUCCCCCCUGUUAACCUUGUAGGUUAGCAGCAUUAAAAAGUUCGGGCUUGCAUCAAAGCACCAUGACGAUCUGCGCGAGAGUUAAAGUUUCUUUUCUUUCUUUUUUUUUUUUUUUUUUAGUCGCGAGGCCGUGGAUAGGACAAUUGUCUUCCUAUAUGGACGGAUCGUCUCGUAUGGACGAAACACCGUGAAAUUCGUCCACGGGUGGAACGUGUUCGUUUCUUGCUACACCAACAAAAAAAACACCACACGACUAAAUGGUUCCUGAUCCACGUGGACCGGGAUCGUUAUUGACAAACAAGAUUGUUAUUAGAGAGAGAGAGAGAAAAAAAAAGAUAAAAAAAAAAGAUUAAAAAAAAAAAAAAGAACACAUAAAUGAGAGGUAACACAGGCACAUUACCACGCAUGCAUCUCGAAAACUCGUUUCACCUGUUCAAUCAGCGUCUGGCGCUUCUAAUGCAGACCCGAGACUGGGUAAAAAACUGGUUACAAUAAUGAGUCUACCUGUCCGCAGCUGUCUGUGUAGACGACACAGUGAGCGUUUUGGGGGACCACUUGGGCCCCGACAGUGGCUAAGGCUGCUAAGGCGAUCCACAUGCAGCAAACGAGGCAGUGUUCGUCGGUCGCGAAUUCGGUUGAGAAGGCACCAAAAUCAAAGUGAAGCACGUCGAAACGUGCCCUCGGAGCACCCAGGUACAUGUACACGGAAAAAAAAAAAGAAUUCGAGUAUGUUGUAGGUAAUAGUAGGUAAUAGUGGUAACAGUUUGUUGUUGUUAUAUAUAUAUUUUUUUUUUUUGAGGAUGAGGGUAUUUUCAUUUGUUUUUUUUUUUUCAAAAUCAUUGUCGCAUUUAUCGUCGCAUCGUUCGUUGGAAGAUGUCCGCCAAAAAAAGUAGGGGAUGCGAAGAUAAGAGAUAUUUUUAUUCGUGGUAUUUUUAUUUUUUGGCAAAUUCGUAAUUUUUUUUUUUUUUUUUGGUCGAUGGACAUGGUCACAACGGUUAUUUCGUUAUUUUCCGAUCAUGGUGCAUGGAGAAAAAAAAGUGGUGGUCGAUGUGGGCGGCAGGGAAGGGGGCCAAAAAGGGGGGAGAGUUACAACAGAAUGAUAAUGUGAAUAUUAUUCACGGAUGAUGAAAGAAAUUUGUAUGUAUAUAUGUAUGCAUGUGUGCGGACGCGUGAUAACCGUGUGUAAAUUUAUCACCAUUAUUAACGAUAAUCAUCGCGCGCAUCAUUGCGGUUGUUUUCGAUUUUUCAUUUUUUUAAAAAUUAUUAUUAUUUAAACGUAUGUUCGUUAAUCAUCACCGUGUGUGUUUUUCAAUAUAUGACAAAAAUAAUGGGAUAUAUAUAUAUAUACAUAUAUAUGCAUGUACCAGGGUGUGCACGAAAAAUAUGUGCGUAUGUGUGUGUGUGCGUGUGUGUAUGUAUACGCGGACACAAAUAUAAAUAUAUAUAUAUAUAUGCAAAACACGUCGUAAAUAACACGAUAAAUUGUCGGUGGUUGUUUCACGGGGUGAUGGGCGAACAUGGCAGCGAUAAUGCGGCAGCGGUGCACACAUACCAAGCCAGUUCAUAUAUAUAUAUAUACAUAUAUAUAUGUAUUAUAAACCAUAUAUAUAUAUAUAUAUAUACGUGUAUUGAUGUGUACGUGUGUCGAUCACGGUAUCCACGGAUAAAGAAAAAAAAAAAAAAAGUCAUCGCGGAGGAACGAUCGAGUAUACGUUACAACAUGUGCACAAACAGGACAGGUACGGGCGUGUUGCGCGCAGAAGAGAAUAUACCGUGUCCGAAUUCGAGACCGAAAACGGUAAUUCCGAGGAUAAAUACGAUAUUCGUGAGACGGCCCAUCACCGAGAGACGUAUUAUAUUUCGUUUGUCGAUCGAUAUAUGUAUACACAUAUAUAUAUAUAUAUAUAUAUGAAAUACACGUGAUUGUAUUUAAUUCAUUUUUUUUUAUCGUCGUGAUGUAACAGAAACGAGUGUGUGACGACACAAAAAAAAAUAUAUAUAUAUAUAUAUAUAACCCGUUGAAUAACGUGUGACGAGAGAGUACGAGUUUCGUUCGGUGGGAGAGGAGGAGAAGGAGGAAAAUAAAAAUCGGGACGUGAAUUAAGAAAUUUAUUAAUCACGAUGAACGAGGAAGGGACAGGAAUGAAAAUCCCCGCCGGAAGAAAGAGAAGGGAGAGGACGAAAACGGGAGAGGACGAGAAAAUAAUAUAAAUAUAUGUGUAUAUAGAGAGAGACAGGGAGAGAGACAGAGAAAUAGGAGAGAAGAAGCGUAAGGUUUGUCAUGUGCGCGGGAGGGAGAGAGAGAAAGAGAAAGAGAGAGAGAGAGAGAGAGAGAUUGGUCACAAUCGCCACAUGAAUGCAAUUAAUCGGAGAAGGAUGCGGGAUUGGAUUUCGCAGCAGUCGUCGCAGAUUCCGUGGAACGGGCGGGUAACUCAGGCACGUGCGGCGUUUCAGGAUCAAUUUCGGGGAGAUAGGGUGAUUCGGGCACGUGCGUGGAGGGCCGUAGUGCGGUCGUGUGGCCGGACAUUCGGUACAGUGAGAGAGGGAUCGGGGAGGUAUCGUCGAUGGAACCGGAAUGUAAGCGUUGACGGGACGGAGAUCAAACAAUUGUAUGCGUGGUAAUUUGUCGGUCGAAAGACGUGCGUUGGAAAUCCAGGCGAGGGCAAGCAUGAAACAGAAAGUUUAAAGAGAAGAUUAUGAACGAUCGCGCGAUUCAACGUGCAACUGAUUGUUUUUUUUUUUUUUUGGUCGGAUCGCAUGUGUGUACGUGUGUGUGUAUCGUGUUAUAUAUAUAUAUACAUUGUCAAUUAUUUUCCUUGCUCUCCCUUGUGCGUAUGUAUGUGUGUAUGUAUGUAUGUAUGUAUACGUGUGCGUAUGUGUGUAAUGUGAGCAUGUAAUGUGUUACACGCAUUAAGAAACAAACAAAAAAAAUGGUACAAGAUUCACAGCAAUGACGAUAUAUGAUAUCAGCUACGAUCUAAUAUGGCCUCUCUCGUUUCUCUCGACGAGAAAGCGUUGUAUGUUUGUUACAAGGAUAAGCGGAUAAUUGGAAUGAAUAUAAUUUAAUUCGUUUCCACGAACCAAAUGCAGUCGUGCUUUUUCUCCGCAAAUAUAAAUAUAUAUAUAUAUAUAUCGUGAAAUAAUAUAAAAUAUCGUGUUCGCAUGCGCUUAAGCUUUAUAUUAUUUUUAUGUUAUGUUCGUGUGAUCUUUUUUUUUUUUUUUAAUUAUUAUAUGUUCAGUAUUAUGUGACGUAUAUAUAUAUAAAUAUUGACACCAUGCGCGUGUUGGUAAGUAACGUUCAUGUCGCAAUGUUAGGAACUGAAUCGCAAUAAUGAAAUAAAUUGAAAAAAAAAAAAAACAAAUAUAUAUAUAUAUAGACAGAGAUAGAGAGAAUGCGAAUGAGAAGAAAAGACAUAGAAAAUAGAUAUAAAGAGAUAUAUAGCAAAGAAAACAUUUGUUUUUAUUUCGUUCGUACAUGAUAAGUAGCGAUGAAAGAUACAGAGAAAAAAGAUACGAGCACAAGCCAUCGAUUAUAAUAACAUUCUACGGUACGCGUGUCGCGUGUGAAAGCCGUUAAAAAAAAAGAGAUAGAGAGAGAUGUAUGAUCUACGUGCGCGCUAAUCAAAAUACAGAGAAGAAGCGGUUUUUCUAAUACGCGUCUAAAAAGAAAAGUGUCUCGCUGGAUACAACGAGAUAUAUAUGUAUAUAAUUAAUCGUGAAGCUCGAAGUGCUUGAAGCUUGCAUAUGCGACAAAAUAAAGUGCUACUGCGAUACUUACAUCGGAAAGAGUGCUUCACAUCGGUUUCUAUAUCGACACAGGUGUAUACAGAUUGGACAGAAUCUACGAUCUAACCGGCCGAUCCAAAUAUCACGUUCUUUCUUCGUAUUCUUUUUCUCCUUCUGUACGUAUAUAUACAAUCUGUAUACGUAGUGUACAUGCAUCCUCUUCUGGAGUUAUUCGAUCGACAAGUUUCACGAUGUAUUCGAAAUAAAGAGGGAAAUGAUGAAAAGGACAACCGAUGAGAACCGAUUCUGUCCAUUCGUAUCCACCGAUCGGCCGUCACACGUUGGACGUUAGAGUGCGGCGAUAAACCAUCGGUCAAAUCGUCCUGGCCAUUCGAGUGCAGCUCCGGUUUAAUUUGCUCCAGGUCUGUUCGUGCGGUGCCAUGAACAUUUAUUUUACGUAUUCGCGAUACGUAAUGGCAUCGACGAGUUUCAUAUCGCGUUAUGUAUAUAAAUAUCUCUUUUCUUUUUCUGGAACCGUCGCGACUACUGCCACUGGGUAGCAGUGUGCGUGUGCGCGCAUGCGCGUACGUUUCGUGUCACCUCAAACGUGAGGUUAAGAGUCAAGAAUGGUGAAUCGAAAAAUAACCGUUAAAUGAAAAUUAACGGAAUGUAUAUAUUUGUCUUUUCGUUAUCACUUCCCCUUUUAAGAAUCUCACACUUUUUUUAGAAUCGUUUCCUUUUUUUCCCUUUUUUCUUUUUUUCUUUUCUCGUGGUCGAUGACACAGAACGUCGCGUAGCAUAUGAUCGUCGAACAAUUCUGCGUAGCACUCUUCUCGCCUUUGAAUCGCAAGGCAAAUAUUUUGAAAGCGAUCGAAACAGGUGAGGAGGCCUCGGCGCGUUAUAGUACUGUAUAAUACAUAUAUGUAUAUACUUGAUGCGAUCAAAAGCGUGGAUUAUUUCAUAUAUAUAUAUGUAUAAGAGAUAUAUGUAUAAAAUAUACAUAGGUUGUAAAAUAGAGAUGCAUGAAUACAGCCUGUUUCGGUGACACACACCCUUUGGAAUCACGAUUAUCCUCUCGGUGAAGCGUUUUGCCCACGGUUAACCGAGACUCGACGUGUUGCAAAGGUCUCUCUCCAUGUGCCAAGCAAAUUACAAAACAAUUCAGUAUAUAUAUAUAUAGGCACACGCGCGUAAAUAUAUAUUCUUACACAGGCGAUAGCGGCUAAAUAAUAUAAUAAUCGAAGCUGAAUAAGAAGCCGACCGAACGCAGGAAGAGUUUGGGGUUCGUUACUUGGAUAUCGGAAGUUAACUCGAAGAAGGUCGAUUUCCAUACCUUUGUAACUUUCUCAUUGUCGUUAUCGAUCAUCUUGUUGGACUGUUGAAAAUGUUGGGUAUUUCCUACUGGAAUUCGAAGGGAAAUUUAAUCGAGAUAGUAAAUCGAUCGAUUAUUCUAAUUUUUAGGCCAUUCCUCCUUCCUCUACAUUUAUUUUUCCUUCGAAGCAAUUAAAGAAGACGAGUCUAUAUAAUGAGAUAUAUUUUUAAAUUACUUUGUAAUUUAAUUGACUCGUCGGCAUUUCUUUCCACCCAAGAUUUCAAAACUUUUGUAAGAUUGGCGUAAGUAUUUAUAUCUUUUAACCCUUUUCUCUCUUCUUAUUUAAAAUAAUAUUUUUGAAAAUCUAAUAAAGAAAAAUCUUCAAUUUUAUGCAAAAAGAGCUUUAAUUACUCAAAAAGGAACUAUCGUUAAACGUUUUGACAUUUUGAUCCAACAAUUUUCAUCGAUCCAAAAGAUAAUCAAAUCGCAAGUAUAUAUAUAAAUUCAUGUAAUUAUAUCGACCUUCUUCCCUUCUUCAAUUAUUAGUAAAAUAAUAACGGAGAGGGGGGAAAGGAUAAGUCUAAUGUGGCGAUUGUUGAUAAAAAUGUGGCUCAGGGAGCGGGAACGUCGACGUGAUAAGAUAAACGGAUAAUAUACCUAGAUAUUACUCCUUCGUGCCUCUGAAUUUCGCAACUAAAGCGCAAGGAUAAGCUGUGGUAGAGGCGAAAAGGUCAGGAAUAUGUGUAUACAUAUACACACUUAUCAUACGUGUGUGUGUGUGUAUAUAUAUAUAUAUAUAAAACGUAAUUUUACGGUCAGAGAGACAAGAAAGAAAUAAGAUAGUUUAAAAAAAAAAAAAAAAAAAAAUAUACAAGAAC